GACGAACGCUGGCGGCGUGCUUAACACAUGCAAGUCGAACGGAAAGGCCCUGCUUUUGUGCGGUGCUCGAGUGGCGAACGGGUGAGUAACACGUGAGUAACCUGCCCUUGACUUUGGGAUAACUUCAGGAAACUGGGGCUAUUAUCGCAUAGGAUCUCUUGCUGCAUGGUGGGCGUUGGUAAGUUUCGGCGGUUGGGGAUGGACUCGCGGCUUAUCAGCUUGUUGGUGGGGUAGUGGCUUACCAAGGCUUUGACGGGUAGCCGGCCUGAGAGGGUGACCGGCGACAAGGGGACUGAGAUACGGCCCAGACUGGUACGGGAGGCAGCAGUGGGGAAUAUUGCACAAUGGGCGGAAGCCUGAUGCAGCAACGCCGCGUGCGGGAUGACGGGCUUCGGGUUGUAAACCGAUUUCGCCUGUGACGAGGCGGGAGUGACGGUAAUGGGUAAAGAAGCACCGGCUAACUACGUG
RNAcentral lists this ribosomal RNA (468 nucleotides) under uncultured bacterium. Its description in RNAcentral is "partial 16S ribosomal RNA". It matches the Rfam family "Bacterial small subunit ribosomal RNA", at positions 28 to 507 of the family's 1533-position model. The record is from RNAcentral.